RNAcentral lists this ribosomal RNA (462 nucleotides) under uncultured bacterium. Its description in RNAcentral is "partial 16S ribosomal RNA". It matches the Rfam family "Bacterial small subunit ribosomal RNA", at positions 28 to 507 of the family's 1533-position model. The record is from RNAcentral.
GACGAACGCUGGCGGCGUGCUUAACACAUGCAAGUCGAGCGGUAAGGCCUUUCGGGGUACACGAGCGGCGAACGGGUGAGUAACACGUGGGUGAUCUGCCCUGCACUUCGGGAUAAGCCUGGGAAACUGGGUCUAAUACCGGAUAUGACCUCCUAUCGCAUGGUGGGUGGUGGAAAGAUUUAUCGGUGCAGGAUGGGCCCGCGGCCUAUCAGCUUGUUGGUGGGGUAAUGGCCUACCAAGGCGACGACGGGUAGCCGACCUGAGAGGGUGACCGGCCACACUGGGACUGAGACACGGCCCAGACUCCUACGGGAGGCAGCAGUGGGGAAUAUUGCACAAUGGGCGAAAGCCUGAUGCAGCGACGCCGCGUGAGGGAUGACGGCCUUCGGGUUGUAAACCUCUUUCAGCAGGGACGAAGCGCAAGUGACGGUACCUGCGGAAGAAGCACCGGCUAACUACGUG